AUCCGUGUAGCUCAGUGGAAGAGCGGCACCCUCCGAAGGUGCAGGUCGGUGGUUCGACUCCACUCACGGAUACGA
Molecule: transfer RNA, 75 nt
Filed under: Nocardia sp. CS682
Lineage: Bacteria; Bacillati; Actinomycetota; Actinomycetes; Mycobacteriales; Nocardiaceae
Description: tRNA-Arg
Rfam family: tRNA
About the family: Transfer RNA (tRNA) molecules are approximately 80 nucleotides in length. Their secondary structure includes four short double-helical elements and three loops (D, anti-codon, and T loops).
Source: RNAcentral